This 75-nucleotide transfer RNA is filed under the name Planctomycetota bacterium. RNAcentral's name for it is "tRNA-Ala". It matches the Rfam family "tRNA". Rfam says of the family: Transfer RNA (tRNA) molecules are approximately 80 nucleotides in length. Their secondary structure includes four short double-helical elements and three loops (D, anti-codon, and T loops). Further hydrogen bonds mediate the characteristic L-shaped molecular structure. tRNAs have two regions of fundamental functional importance: the anti-codon, which is responsible for specific mRNA codon recognition, and the 3' end, to which the tRNAs corresponding amino acid is attached (by aminoacyl-tRNA synthetases). tRNAs cope with the degeneracy of the genetic code in two manners: having more than one tRNA (with a specific anti-codon) for a particular amino acid; and 'wobble' base-pairing, i.e. permitting non-standard base-pairing at the 3rd anti-codon position. Lineage: Bacteria; Pseudomonadati; Planctomycetota. The record is from RNAcentral.
GGGCCAGUAGCUCAGUGGUAGAGCAUCGGCUUUGCAAGCCGAGGGUCAGGGGUUCAAAUCCCCUCUGGUCCACCA